This 915-nucleotide ribosomal RNA is filed under the name Clostridioides difficile. Its description in RNAcentral is "partial 23S ribosomal RNA". It matches the Rfam family "Bacterial large subunit ribosomal RNA", at positions 837 to 1758 of the family's 2925-position model. Lineage: Bacteria; Bacillati; Bacillota; Clostridia; Peptostreptococcales; Peptostreptococcaceae. The record is from RNAcentral.
GCCCGGAGAUAGCUGGUUCUCCCCGAAAUAGCUUUAGGGCUAGCCUCAAGGUGAGAGAUACGGAGGUAGAGCACUGAAUGUCCUAGGGGGUAUUGCACCUACCGAAGACUAUCAAACUCCGAAUGCCGUCAUCUUAUACUUGGGAGUCAGACUGUGGGUGAUAAGAUUCAUAGUCGAAAGGGCAACAGCCCAGAUCGUCAGCUAAGGUCCCUAAAUGUAAGUUAAGUGGUAAAGGAUGUGGGAUUGCACAGACAACCAGGAUGUUGGCUUAGAAGCAGCCACUCAUUCAAAGAGUGCGUAAUAGCUCACUGGUCGAGUGAUCCUGCGCCGAAGAUUUCCGGGGCUAAAACUUACUACCGAAGCUACGGCAUCAGUAAUGAUGGGUAGGGGAGCUUCCCAUACAGGUUGAAGCAUGACCGUAAGGACAUGUGGACAGUAUGGGAGUGAGAAUGUUGGCAUGAGUAGCGAGAUGUGGGUGAGAAUCCCACAGGCCGUAAACCCAAGGUUUCCAGGGGAAGGUUCGUCCGCCCUGGGUUAGUCGGGACCUAAGCUGAGGCCGAAAGGCGUAGGUGAUGGACAACAGGUUGAUAUUCCUGUACUACCGAUAACCGUUUGAGAGAAGGGAUGACACAGUAGGAUAAGUUAAGCACACUGUUGGUUAUGUGUGCCCAAGCAUUGAGGCAGUCAAAGCAGGCAAAUCCGCUUUGAUAAUGCUGGGAUGUGAUGGGGAGCGAAAUUUAGUAGCGAAGUAGCUGAUUUCACACUGUCAAGAAAAGUCUCUAUCGAGGUUAAAGGUACCCGUACCGCAAACCGACACAGGUGGGUGAGGAGAGUAUCCUAAGGCCAGCGAGAGAACUGUUGUUAAGGAACUCGGCAAAAUGACCCCGUAACUUAGGGAUAAGGGGUGCCACCAUC